This 89-nucleotide transfer RNA is filed under the name Caudoviricetes sp. RNAcentral's name for it is "tRNA-Ile". It matches the Rfam family "tRNA". From Rfam's summary of the family: Transfer RNA (tRNA) molecules are approximately 80 nucleotides in length. Lineage: Duplodnaviria; Heunggongvirae; Uroviricota; Caudoviricetes. The record is from RNAcentral.
AGUAGGUUAGUUUAAUUGGUAAAACAGCGGGCUUAUACUCCGUAGCAACAGAUAAUUGGCUAAUAAGGGUUCGAGUCCCUUACCUACUA